Molecule: unclassified non-coding RNA, 884 nt
Filed under: Leishmania donovani
Lineage: Eukaryota; Euglenozoa; Kinetoplastea; Trypanosomatida; Trypanosomatidae
Description: gene:LdHU3.16.2100(CDS-product:Sedlin_N-inal_cons erved_region_containing_protein_putative)
Source: RNAcentral
AUGAACCUUCUUUCUUGUUUGCUUGUGCUGUGUUGUGUCGGCGGCGCUCUUGAAGAGCAACGGCACUGACCACUCCCUGUGUCUCUGUCCGCACUCACCUCUUCUCUCGCUUUGCUUUCCUCCGCGUUUGACGGUGCACUACCAAUGCCGUUUAUGCAAUUCCUCGUUGUGGGACCCAGUGACGCCUGCCUCUUCGCGUACGGAGGCAGCGGCACGAACAUUAGCGACAGCAGUGAUAACGAGUUGGCGCAUUACUUCUCCCUCUACUCCGCAUUAGAUGUGAUUGACGAGGCAAUGUGGACCAGAGGCGAUUUUCUUCUCAGCAGAGUUGAUCGUCCCUACGGCGACUCGUACUACAUCUCCGCGUACGUGGGCCUUGCCCCUGUUCGUCUUCUGCUCAUGCAGGAUUCUGAGCCGAAGGACUCCCUAUCCACCUUUUUUAGCGAGGCGUAUCACCUAUGUGUACGGUACUUCAUGAACCCCUUCAGCACGACCUGCAAAAAGAUCCAAAGUACUACGUUUCGGGAUGAGAUGACUCUGCUGUGUCGCAAGUACUGCUGACGGUCGUCGCUAUCUUGGUAAACGUGCAGGCGCCCUAUCGGUUUCCUCACCAUUCUGCCUAGGGUGUCUACCUCUGCCGGCUCCCUGUGCUGCUAGGGGGAUGCAGCGUUCUGUCUGUCUUCGCACACCACAUUGCACUGGCCUUGUUUCUUGCUUAUGACCCCGCCCGUGCCAGUUCCAUGCAGCCAAGAAAACGAAGGCCCUUAUUCGGUAUGCUGCACCUGGUGAUCUGCACCCCGUGCCGUAUUCAUUCCAAGGUUUCUGGUAAGGGCGCGGGAAACCACCUCUCCCUUCGCACAUGAGCGCCGAGUCGUCAUUAGCUG